UACGAAGGGUGCAAGCGUUACUCGGAAUUAUUGGGCGUAAAGAGCUUGUAGGCGGUCUGUCGCGUCUGCUGUGAAAAUCCGGGGCUCAACCCCGGACUUGCAGUGGGUACGGGCAGACUAGAGUGUGGUAGGGGAGACUGGAAUUCCUGGUGUAGCGGUGGAAUGCGCAGAUAUCAGGAGGAACACCGAUGGCGAAGGCAGGUCUCUGGGCCGAUACUGACGCUGAGGAGCGAAAGCGUGGGGAGCGAACAGG
Molecule: ribosomal RNA, 253 nt
Filed under: uncultured bacterium
Lineage: Bacteria
Description: partial 16S ribosomal RNA
Rfam family: Bacterial small subunit ribosomal RNA
Source: RNAcentral